Molecule: ribosomal RNA, 250 nt
Filed under: uncultured bacterium
Lineage: Bacteria
Description: partial 16S ribosomal RNA
Rfam family: Bacterial small subunit ribosomal RNA
Source: RNAcentral
UACGAAGGGGGCUAGCGUUGUUCGGAUUUACUGGGCGUAAAGCGCACGUAGGCGGAUUUUUAAGUCAGGGGUGAAAUCCCGGGGCUCAACCCCGGAACUGCCUUUGAUACUGGAAGUCUUGAGUAUGGUAGAGGUGAGUGGAAUUCCGAGUGUAGAGGUGAAAUUCGUAGAUAUUCGGAGGAACACCAGUGGCGAAGGCGGCUCACUGGACCAUUACUGACGCUGAGGUGCGAAAGCGUGGGGAGCAAAC